Pelobates cultripes (western spadefoot toad) is the source of this 244-nucleotide non-coding RNA. NCBI's taxonomy places the organism in Eukaryota, Metazoa, Chordata, Amphibia, Anura, Pelobatidae. The record is from the annotation of a GenBank genome assembly.
UGACAGCGUUAGGGAGGGAAGGGGUGACUAGUGACAGAGGGAGGGGUGACUAGGGACAGAGUGAGGGAGGUGGUGACUAGUGACUAGUGACAGUCACCACCUCCCUCACUCUGUCACUAGUCACCACCUUCCUCACUGUGUCACCCCCUCCCUCUGUCACUGGUCACCCACUCCCUCCCUCACUCUGUCACUAGUCACCCCUUCCUUCCCUCUGUCACUAGACACCCCCCUCACUCUGUCACUA